GGCUUCACAUUUUAUGGUAGUCUUCACAAUUCGGGGUAGUAAUAAUAGGCUUCACAGUUCAGGGUAAGAAGAAGGAACUGAAAUACAGGUACAUAUGUUUUUGGUCCAACUAAACUAACGUAAAACCUCUAUCUAAUCAGGCAAAUCAAUUAACCAGACAAAAGACGGUUCAAACGGUACAAAACACAUAGUGUUUAAAAAUAC
RNAcentral lists this long non-coding RNA (204 nucleotides) under Mytilus galloprovincialis (Mediterranean mussel). The record is from RNAcentral. Lineage: Eukaryota; Metazoa; Mollusca; Bivalvia; Mytilida; Mytilidae.